RNAcentral lists this ribosomal RNA (500 nucleotides) under uncultured bacterium. RNAcentral describes it as "partial 16S ribosomal RNA". It matches the Rfam family "Bacterial small subunit ribosomal RNA", at positions 30 to 523 of the family's 1533-position model. The record is from RNAcentral.
AUUGAACGCUGGCGGCAUGCCUUACACAUGCAAGUCGAACGGCAGCACGGGAGCAAUCCUGGUGGCGAGUGGCGAACGGGUGAGUAAAGUAUCGGAACGUGCCCAGUCGUGGGGGAUAACGUAGCGAAAGUUACGCUAAUACCGCAUACGAUCUAUGGAUGAAAGCGGGGGAUCGCAAGACCUCGCGCGAUUGGAGCGGCCGAUAUCAGAUUAGGUAGUUGGUGGGGUAAAGGCUCACCAAGCCGACGAUCUGUAGCUGGUCUGGGAGGACGACCAGCCACACUGGGACUGAGACACGGCCCAGACUCCUACGGGAGGCAGCAGUGGGGAAUUUUGGACAAUGGGCGAAAGCCUGAUCCAGCCAUGCCGCGUGCAGGAUGGAGGCCUUCGGGUUGUAAACUGCUUUUGUACGGAACGAAAAGGUUUGGCCUAAUAAGCUGAGCUCAUGACGGUACCGUAAGAAUAAGCACCGGCUAACUACGUGCCAGCCGCCGCGGUAA